RNAcentral lists this long non-coding RNA (943 nucleotides) under Felis catus (domestic cat). RNAcentral's name for it is "lncRNA (ENSFCAG00000040807.2)". The record is from RNAcentral. Lineage: Eukaryota; Metazoa; Chordata; Mammalia; Carnivora; Felidae.
CUCUAUUGCAGGCCCCAGCCCACGACUUCUUUCGGCGCCAGAGAAUUACUGGGCGCUUGCUAGAAAUGACCCCCAGAGGCCACCGUAGCCCCCUCGUGCCUCGCUUAAUUUGGAUGCCUGGGUAGAUAACUCAAACUCGGAAGGCAUCUGAGGGUAUUUCAGGGUUGAUAGGGAUCUCAAAUGUCACCAGGGCUUUGACUGCCGGAUAAUUAGGCCCCAAGCGACGGCUGGCUACAUCUCCAGCCCCUUAGUCCCGUGGCAGCCCCGUCAUUUUCUCUCCUUGGUUGGAGAGACGGCUGCUGGCUGUGAUCUUCCCGCCAGAUCAGCGCCUUAUCAGAGCUGGACACGACUCCCUUCUGAAGGAACCCUGCGCAGACAGUGAUUAACCAAAGAGCAAGGAAAGGCAGUUCCAUGAAAGAAAAGUGGUAGCAGGUGAGAUCCUGGAUGAAGUCUUAAUGUGCAUAGAUAAUAUGAGAGUAACUUCUUUCAUCCAACGAUGGCCACAACGGAGCCCUGCACAAUUCUGGCCCCAUGCCUUCCCAGUGGGGCAGGCAGAUCAGCAACAAGCACCGUCUUCCAUUGAGUGUAACUCACCUUCAAUUGUAGGCUGCCCCCUUAUGUUACUUACCACUAAGAAAAAGAACACACAACUCCACCUAUUAAACUUUGCCUAUCAAUUGUGGAACGUGUCCUAAUUUCAGAAGUGGUUUUCAGAAAAAUAAUAAUGUGCAUCCAGGGAUGAUGCAUUGUAGCCAUGGAAUGUGUCGUAACUGGUAGAACAGGUGCUCAGGGAAGCACCAGAGGAGCGGCAGGUACUCUGCCUUGGAAGGGUCUGGUUCAAAGUCUUUCAGGAGGGUUCUGGGUCAGCUGAGAGGCGUUAGAACUCAGCCUGCUUGAGUUCCUUCCCUAGCCCUGCCGCUUACUGGUUGCAUGACCUAAGGCC